RNAcentral lists this ribosomal RNA (468 nucleotides) under uncultured bacterium. RNAcentral describes it as "partial 16S ribosomal RNA". It matches the Rfam family "Bacterial small subunit ribosomal RNA", at positions 28 to 507 of the family's 1533-position model. The record is from RNAcentral.
GACGAACGCUGGCGGCGUGCUUAACACAUGCAAGUCGAACGGAAAGGCCCUUCUUUUGUGGGGUGCUCGAGUGGCGAACGGGUGAGUAACACGUGAGUAACCUGCCCUUGACUUUGGGAUAACUUCAGGAAACUGGGGCAAAUACCGGAUAGGAGCUCCUGCUGCAUGGUGGGGGUUGGAAAGUUUCGGCGGUUGGGGAUGGACUCGCGGCUUAUCAGCUUGUUGGUGGGGUAGUGGCUUACCAAGGCUUUGACGGGUAGCCGGCCUGAGAGGGUGACCGGCCACAUUGGGACUGAGAUACGGCCCAGACUCCUACGGGAGGCAGCAGUGGGGAAUAUUGCACAAUGGGCGGAAGCCUGAUGCAGCAACGCCGCGUGCGGGAUGACGGCCUUCGGGUUGUAAACCGCUUUCGCCUGUGACGAAGCGUGAGUGACGGUAAUGGGUAAAGAAGCACCGGCUAACUAAGUG